GGGGCUGCGCCGAGCGGUGUGCCUGCGUGGGGCGGGAGCGGUUCAGGUCGCCUCGCUCUGCCGGGGCAUAAAGCUGCUCUCCUGAGGAGGCUGCAGAUAGGAAAACCCCUUGCUGUCAUGGCUGCCCGCGUGUCUCAGCUUAAGCACGGCUCUGCUCAGCAUACAAGAAACAAGCUCCUGAUAAAUGCCUGCUGCUAAAUAAUGCAUUUUGUCUGUAGAUCUUCUUGAUACCUCCAAGAGCUGCGUGCACAGCCAGAUGUAAUAGACUCUGCAGGUGAAAAUUCUGAAAAUACUUAUCUGCAUACAAGCGUAGCUUCAGAUCUCCUGAGAUGUUGGCUCCUGCAAGAAUGCCAGUUGCAGCUGGGAAAAAGAUGGCAAACACUGAAAAAAAUCCUUCUCCACUUCUGAAAUCUGGUCCAAAGUUUUCUGCAAAUAUUGAUGCUGCAAAUACAGGUGAAAAUUUCUGAGCUUUUGUCACAGCAGAAUACGAAAAGAGAAGUCCUAUUCUAGAACUGAUUUCUACAUUCUGAGGUAUUUUCAUUUGUAUUUCCAUUUUUAAUUUUUUUAAUGUAAGGUAAAGGAAUAGCAGAAAUCAUCAGAGAUUAUGGAAUGGACAGAAAAUGGAGCUUUCCUGCUAGGCAGAGCUUCGGAGGGUACAGUGACAAAAACAUUGUUUUAACUGCUACUUAUUCUCUCAAGCUGCUUCAAAAAUAAGGACAAAAGGGGCGCUUACUCAAGGCUUUAAAUGAUGCCAUGGCUUAUGAAAAUCAAUGUAAACAAGCGGUCUGUGGAACGUAAACUUCCUUUUUCCCUCUUAAAUGAAUGUUCAAGGAAGAACAUAGAGUAGUAUUGCUUUCAUUGAAUGUAAUGAUUAAGCUGCUUUGCUUUUAGAAAGGUUAGGCUUCCCACCUGUUGUACAGCAUUCCUCAUGUGUUAACCCUGCACAGUAUUCUAAUAUAUUCUUUGCUUGUAUUUAGUUUUAAAGCUUUACCUUUGCUUCCCAUUCCAUGCCAGCAACAGAGAUGCCAAGAAGACAUAUAACAGUUAUGGUACCUAUUAUUCUGAUAUCAUUGGACUCAUCUACCAUUAUCGAAUCACUCUCCUGAAAAGAUGAAAAUAUUUGCUCAUCUUCUAAGGAGGUAGCUGAAACGUAAGGGGUAUUAUGAAGAAUUAUACUGGAAGGAAUUAAAUUGAAGAUAUCCACCGACCUGCAUCAGACUUAAAAAUAAGAGGAAGAGUGCAGUGCUUGUUUUGUCCAAGGAUGUCCAACCUGAAAGGCUCUGAAUAAGAAAGACCUGCUGAAAGAACAGGUUAGCCUUCAUCUCUCCUGAGGAUAAAGAUGAUGAGCUCAUGAAGUCAUCAUAACAAGUGUGGAGAAUAACCAAGAUGAAGAAAGGAACUAUCCUGUUCAGUGCUAUCUUGAAAACACCACAAAGGUCUGUCAGUCCAAGGUCACAAAAUGAGUCUGUGGGACAGUCAGGAAUGGACUUCAGCCAUGCUAAUGGUGGGUUGUUUGUUCCAGUGAUUCUCAAACCAAGGCCUCACUGCACAUAUGGGCACAGCAGAUUGCCAGCAUAACAAAAAUCUCAUUACCUCUGACAUUCACCUUUGUAUUGUGAGAAGCAUAAGAUUAUUCUUCUGUAAGCUGGAUAAUAGGUAAUAGAAAAAGUAUGGGGACAAGUGAGCUAGACGAUGCUCUUUUCUCAUCCCUUGCAGUCCCAACCCAUGAAGCAAUUUUCCAUUCAUUUUAUUCUAGAAUGGAAGAUGCCUUCUUUUUAACCUUCUCUCAGUGAAAGUUGUAACAAAGCCCAAGCAAUUUGUCUGUUCAUUUAAAACAAACAAACCAAUCUGCUAGCCCAAAUGAGAUGCCCAAUAGCAAAAAACCUGAAUUUUCUGGUAGUGUUCAAAACUGAAAAUCCCUUAAUAUGCUCAUGUUCAGUACAAGUUCGUUUAGCACUGUGUUCAGAGCCAAAAUACACUAUUUUUCCCUCUACCUGCCUACCACUGAUGUAAAUUAUUUCUGUAACAGGAAGUUUCUUUUGAGCAUGGAAAUGUGUUUAGUUUCUUCAGUAGCACUUACUCAUCUGCACAUCUGGCAGAGCAGAAUUCAUAUUCACCCCUAUUCACAUCCACUUUGCAUUCAUUUAUGGAAAUAUAAGUGAUUACUCAGGUAACUUGUUUCUCCUUUCUAUGUAAACCAUUUUAUGCAGGUUUGUGGAGACCUUAAAAAAGUGGGACUGUAGACAUUUAGCUGUCUUAAACGGAUACUAUAGAAUAAGGUCCUAAUUUUCCUAGUAUUUUUCUGCUUCAUUUCAUUUAUUUUUAUUGAUCCUAUUUAGGACAGGUGAAUCUCCAAAGAAAUAGAGUUUGAGUAAGAUCUGGACCAAAAAAUAGAUGCUUAUCAGAAUUAUUCAGACCUCAGAAGUAUGUAAAAGACAGUGGACAGUUCCAUUUGUCUUUCCACUGCUGUAGAAUAGAAGGAAGACCUGUUCCAUCAAGACAUACUGUCAGGUGAAGACCACUCGUCCUUUGAUUUACUGCCCAUAUAAAAACACUGGCAUAAAGAAAGGCUCCUUAACAUCUUGCUGUGAGUAGAAAGGCCAUUGGAGGAGGCCCUUGUGAGGCUGGAACAGCGAGUCUAAGAGAAAAUAGCAAUGAGGAAAAUAGCUUGGCACAGAGACCAUUAAGAGAAGCAGCAGCUGGGCAGUGACAUUUGCAGCUUCCAGGCAAGCAAUGAAUUGCAGAAAUGAGAUUUUAUCCUUAGUAGAUAGACAAGCCUGGAGUCUCCAAGGAACAAGAGACCCUGCGCUAUGCAUUGUGCUGUGAAUUCACGGAUAUGCGGCCAAGGUCCAGAUAACAGAGGCAAGAAAAUAAAACGUUCACCGGUGCCACCUUUAACUUGCGAACGUGGAAAACCGCUACCUGUUUCCCUGGGGCAUGCAGGCUACAAGAACCGCAGGACACCGAGCACCCGCCGCUCCAUGCGCAGCCUGCGCAGCCCCUACUUUCUCCGGC
Lagopus leucura (white-tailed ptarmigan) is the source of this 3015-nucleotide long non-coding RNA. RefSeq lists it as uncharacterized. The transcript has 11 exons. The record is from RefSeq and is a predicted model, not a curated record. Lineage: Eukaryota; Metazoa; Chordata; Aves; Galliformes; Phasianidae.